GGGAUAGAAUUCCAGGAGUAGCGGUGAAAUGCGUAGAUAUCUGGAGGAAUACCAAAGGCGAAGGCAGUCCCCUGGUCCGAUACUGACACUGAGGUACGAAAGCGUGGGGAGCAAACAGGAUUAGAUACCCUGGUAGUCCACGCCCUAAACGAUGUCGAUUAGCCAUUGGAAGGACCCCUUUUCCUUUCAGUGACGUAGCUAACGCGUUAAAUCGACCGCCUGGGAAGUACGACCGCAAGGUUAAAACUCAAAGGAAUUGACGGGGACCUGAACAAGCGGUGAAUGAUGUGGAUUAAUUCGAUGCUACGCGAAGAACCUUACCUACCUUUGACAUGGCCAAAGUUCUACCGAGGGGCGGAAGUACUCGUAAGAGGAUUGGCGCACAGGUGCUGCAUGGUUGUCGUCAGUUCGUGUCGUGAGAUGUUGGGUUCAGUCCCGCAACGAACGCAACCCUUAUCUUUAAUUGCUCCUAUUUUAACAGGCACUUUAAAGAAACUGCCAAUGAUAAGUUGGAGGAAGGUGGGGAUCACGUCAAGUCCGCAUGGCCUUUAUAGGUAGGGCUUCACACGUCAUACAAUGGUUAGAACAAAGAGCUGCAAAUUCGUAAGAAGGAGCCAAUCCCACAAACCUAACCUCAGUUCGAAUUGCGGUCUGCAACUCGAGCGCAUGAAGCCGGAAUCGCUAGUAAUCGUGGAUCAGAAUGCCACGGUGAAUACGUUCUUAGGUCUC
This 729-nucleotide ribosomal RNA is filed under the name Candidatus Tremblayella phenacoccinincola. Its description in RNAcentral is "bacterial SSU rRNA". It matches the Rfam family "Bacterial small subunit ribosomal RNA", at positions 658 to 1382 of the family's 1533-position model. Lineage: Bacteria; Pseudomonadati; Pseudomonadota; Betaproteobacteria. The record is from RNAcentral.